This is a long non-coding RNA of Pieris brassicae (large cabbage white), 714 nucleotides long. RefSeq lists it as uncharacterized. Lineage: Eukaryota; Metazoa; Arthropoda; Insecta; Lepidoptera; Pieridae. The record is from RefSeq and is a predicted model, not a curated record. The transcript has 4 exons.
UUAAUGGCGUCCAGUCAUCGUUUGUCACCCUUGCAGUAGAAAUCGUUUUACGUACUCCUAUAAACUUACAACGUUUGACUACCAUGGCGUCCCCGAAGCCCAUUGUUUGAAGAGUUAAGUGAAGUGCAAGUGUUGGACUUAAAUUAGCCGCUUGUCACGGCCUCCUCUUCUGCGCCGAUCCUUGACGAACCGGUUGCUGGUCCUAGUGGGCUGACUAGUCCUGGCGAGGAAUUUGCUGCGAUGCCCAGACUUACUAGGUCAUCUGGCAGAAGGCUUAAUCCUUACUCGGAUGAGUUAAAAGGCCCAUUCUCGGACGGAAGAGGGAACCUAUGCAAGGAUAAGGAAGAAUCUUCUUUUGAUGGUAUACCGCAUUUUGAGUAUUUUCCCUACCAUGUUUUGGCAAAGUACAACACAAAAUCGUCAAUAUGACUUACCUAUGUAUCCUCGAACGAAGGCGUACAUAACCAAAAGCGUCGCGUAACAGGUAACGCACGGCCGCCGCCCUAACGACCACUUGUCACUGGAUGAGACAAUGAACUGCUGCAGGUAUCGGGUGAAGAUCCAUCAAAGUCUAAUACUCCAGGUGAAGACAUACAGUUUGAUCUUGCACAACCGAGAAGAGUGCCUUUGUCAUCAGUGUCAUCUAUAAUAUAAAAAAUGAAUCGCAGAAUGUGUAGGUAAGCGCAUAACUAUACAAAGCCUGAACCAAUUGUA